Molecule: ribosomal RNA, 253 nt
Filed under: uncultured bacterium
Lineage: Bacteria
Description: partial 16S ribosomal RNA
Rfam family: Bacterial small subunit ribosomal RNA
Source: RNAcentral
UACAGAGGUCUCAAGCGUUGUUCGGAUUCAUUGGGCGUAAAGGGUGCGUAGGCGGCUCUGUAAGUCGGGUGUGAAAUCUCGGAGCUUAACUCCGGAACUGCAUUCGAUACUGCCGUGCUUGAGGACUGGAGAGGAGACUGGAAUUUACGGUGUAGCGGUGAAAUGCGUAGAUAUCGUAAGGAAGACCAGUGGCGAAGGCGGGUCUCUGGACAGUUCCUGACGCUGAGGCACGAAGGUCAGGGGAGCAAACGGG